UGCGGUUAUUCUACUAGUCCUCAC
Molecule: non-coding RNA, 24 nt
Filed under: Arabidopsis thaliana (thale cress)
Lineage: Eukaryota; Viridiplantae; Streptophyta; Magnoliopsida; Brassicales; Brassicaceae
Source: RNAcentral